This 3142-nucleotide small RNA is filed under the name Pongo abelii (Sumatran orangutan). RNAcentral's name for it is "retained intron". The record is from RNAcentral. Lineage: Eukaryota; Metazoa; Chordata; Mammalia; Primates; Hominidae.
GACAUUGGGGAGUGGCGGGGAUCAUGGUGAGUCUUGGCCAGGGGGUCAGCAGGUGCUUGGCUCCAGCCUACUGUUGUCCAAUCUCCUGGAAUCCAGACUUACAUAAAUCUGUUUUUCAAUGCUAGCAACUAAUUCACAAAAACUAAAACCAUCCUGCAGACCUGUUUGCAUUCACUGCUGUCUGCCUAGGGCGCUCACCCUAGGCCAGCAGAGCAGGGCUUCCCCCAGCUCAGCCUGGGGGAGCUGGGCUCUUACCCGGGAGACAGGAAGACUGGGGGCUGAGACUGGUGCACCCAGCCACUCAGGGCCCUACCACCCAUGGUUGCCUCUGCAGGAAGGUGAUGCGCUGGGCGCCAUGGAGAAGCUGUGCCGGCAGCUGACAUACCACCUCAGCCCCCACUCCCAGUGGAGGCGGCACCGGGGGCUGGUGAAAAGGAAGCCACAGGCCUGGUCCCUGCAGGCUGGGGAAGGAAGGGCUGUCUCCCUCCCUCAUGGAGAAGAAAGAACUCUAGUGCCUCCUUCUAUUCUGGACCUGCCCCCCACCCCCGCCCACAACCAGGAGAUGGAUCCUGGAGAGGCGCAUUCCCAGGUGGAUGAACAGUCCUCAAGGCUGUCCUGGCCGGGAACCCCCCAGACAACACAGUGGACCUGUCGGGCAUCCCAUUGACCUCCCGAGACCUGGAGCGGGUGACCAGCUACCUACAGCGCUGUGGGGAGCAGGUAGACAGCGUGGAGCUGGGCUUCACAGGCCUCACGGACGACAUGGUCCUGCAGCUGCUGCCAGCACUCAGCACCCUGCCCCGCCUCACCACACUGGCACUCAAUGGCAACCGGCUGACCCGGGCCGUGCUGCGCGACCUCACUGACAUCCUUAAGGAUCCCAGCAAGUUCCCUAAUGUCACGUGGAUUGACCUGGGCAACAAUGUUGACAUCUUCUCCUUGCCCCAGCCCUUCCUGCUCAGCCUGCGCAAGCGCUCCCCAAAGCAGGGCCACCUACCCACCAUCCUGGAGCUGGGUGAGGGCCCGGGCAGUGGGGAGGAGGUCCAGGAAGGGACAGUAGACCAGGAGGACCCUGGAGGGGGCCCUGUGGCACCUGCCGAAGACCACCAUGAGGGCAAGGAGACUGUAGCUGCAGCUCAGACGUGACAUGGAAGUGAAGGGCCUCACCAGGGAGUCCUUGUUGGGUAGAAUGGGCAAGGCAGGCAGGGGAGGGCGCUUCUCCUAUCAGGUGGGUUAAGGAUAUUGCCAAAAAUUGGCCUGGGCCACCCACCGACAGACAGGCAAACCAUAGCAUCUGGGGAAGGGGAUUUGUGUUAAAACUUCCCGUUGGUCCUCUCCAUCUGCCCCCUAUCCCAUUAUCUGCCAUUUGGCUCUUAAGUCAUCCCAGGCCCCAGAGAACCCUCUCAGCUCAGCCCAUGGCCUUCCCCAAAGACUUGUGGAAAUGGGCACAUGGCUGGAGGUACUGGAAGCCUGAGCCAUUGUGAACACCAAGAGCUUUCCCCCAGAAAAAGAAUACAGUAGGGCCCCUACAGGCACUGCAUUACAUUUUUCAUUUAAGGGAACAAGCUCCAACCAGAUGAACAUGUCCCCACUCAAGGAAGGUGGGAAUCUUUAGCAAAAUUCCUGUAAUUCUAGAACCUGGGGGAAGGGGUUGGUUGCCAGAGACCCCAGUUCCAUCUAUGCUAGGGGUGGACUGAACGUGGUGUACCUCCUUAUGGAGACCCAGCCCUAUUUCUGAGGCCCACCUUGAUUCUAGGCAUCUGCCCAUAGGACCAGCAGCUAUCACUAUGCCCUUUGACAGAGCAGCCUAUGAUGCCAUGUGGCAGUGCUCAGGACAGACAUGGUGCCCAUGCAUACAGGCAUAAAGUCCUGUUCAGAAAUCCCCUAUCUACCUUCCCUACCCACCGCUGGCUGAAAAACUACCAGACUUCUAUGUGGGCUCUGAUGUCCUUAGCAUGCAGGCCAAGUGACAGACCUGGCUUCCUUCUUGUCACUUGCCAGUAUGACUUCACUGACAGAGACAGGCCAUAAGAACUCUUUCCCCAUAAUUCUUAAGUAAUCCACCAAUACAUUCCAGAAAACUGACCUCAGAAGGUGGGCUUUAAAACCUUAAAAACCUAGGACCAUGAAGGAGUCCAAUCCCUUGGCAGAUCCAACAAGAUGGCUGGGGAGAUGGAGAAACAAACUGGGGGCUCCCAAAGGAGCCUAACUUAGCAAAGGUUCUCAUCUUAUACCCUCCCUUUACCCAAAUGCUCUCCUACUGAAAGGGCCCUACCAGUUAAGGGAUCUCUUCUAAAUAACAGGCAACCCCUAGAUCCAAGUAGUUCAGUCCAGGGAGACUGGGAGCCAAUCACUCUUGAACCUUGUGGGCAAACAGUAUGGGGGAGGACCCGCUUGACAGGCCUUGGCAAGCAAGAUUCCAACACAGGAAGACAGCAAGAUGGUGUCUUCUAAGGAAUGGUGCAAUGCUGCAGGAGCUGGAACAAAGCUACACCAAGGAUCAGAGCACAGAGCAGCAGGGGCCGAAAUUGAGGAGGCCUUAAAUGCUUUGAAUUUUUGCCUUCAGUCUAAAGCUGUAGAAUAGGGGAUUAAGAGCUUAGGCUGACCACAGGGAAGUUUACAAGCUAGAGCAAAUAUCUGGACUGCUAAUAUCUGACAAUAGUAGGCGAAAUUUACUUUUUCUUCAAAUACACAUUUUCAAGAAUUGACACCCAAGACCAUCCUUUAUUGUAGUAUUAGUUCAUGGUAACUGCAUGAAAAAACAUUUCAGGAGGAAUUUACAAUUUCCAGCUUAAAGAACUUGCCCACCAACAUAACCAAUUUAUGAAAGUCAGUUCAUUAAAAGGUAUAGAACCUCUUGUUGGGCAUGAUGGCAAGGGACAAAGCUACAACUUGGCCUGUGCCUUUGGAAGCUGAGGCAGGAGGACCAUCUAAGCCCAGGAGCUUGAGACCAGCCUGAGCAACAUAGAGAAUCCGUCUCAACAAAAAAAAAUUUUAGCCAGGUGUGCUGUGAGCUGUAGUCCCAGCUACAAGGUGGGAGGAUUGCUUAGGCCUGGGUGAUUGAGGCUGCAAUGAGCUGUGAUUGUGCCACCACACUCCAGCCUGGGCAACACAGCAAGACUGUCUCAAAAAAAAAAAAAAC